AACGUAGGAGACGAACGUUAUCCGGAGUUACUGGGCGUAAAGGGCUCGUAGGCGGUCUGUCGCGUCGAAUGUGAAAACCCGGGGCUCAACUCCGGGCUUGCAUUCGAUACGGGCAGGCUAGAGUUCGGUAGGGGAGACUGGAAUUCCUGGUGUAGCGGUGAAAUGCGCAGAUAUCAGGAGGAACACCGGUGGCGAAGGCGGGUCUCUGGGCCGAUACUGACGCUGAGGAGCGAAAGCGUGGGGAGCAAACAGG
This 253-nucleotide ribosomal RNA is filed under the name uncultured bacterium. Its description in RNAcentral is "partial 16S ribosomal RNA". It matches the Rfam family "Bacterial small subunit ribosomal RNA", at positions 524 to 776 of the family's 1533-position model. The record is from RNAcentral.